AUAGAGUAAGAGUACAACACCGAACGGAUGAGUUCAAGUCAUCUUGCUUUUGAAAGAAGCCUAUUUUUCCAGGAGGAAAUUCUAUUCUUUAUAUUUUGCAGGAUAGGAUGACAGUGGGUUUUGUGAAUGCCAGUGGAUAUGAGUGGGAGACCAAGAUAUGUAACUGGCAAAUUUCCCUCACUAACCCCUAGGGUAUGUGCAAUAACAUUUUUGUCCUCAAUAUAAG
This 226-nucleotide long non-coding RNA is filed under the name Musa acuminata (dwarf banana). Its description in RNAcentral is "long non-coding RNA (MACU_LNC011272)". Lineage: Eukaryota; Viridiplantae; Streptophyta; Magnoliopsida; Zingiberales; Musaceae. The record is from RNAcentral.